This 382-nucleotide long non-coding RNA is filed under the name Heterocephalus glaber (naked mole-rat). RNAcentral describes it as "lncRNA (ENSHGLG00000044992.1)". Lineage: Eukaryota; Metazoa; Chordata; Mammalia; Rodentia; Bathyergidae. The record is from RNAcentral.
GCUGCUACAGUGCCCGCCCGGUGUGCAGGAGACCCCAUUCCAUCCCCAGCCCCACAAGAAGAGUAGGUAAACAGGCCAUGUGGACACCCAACUGUUCUCUGCUCCCUCUUCCCUUCUGAGGCUGUUGCUAGCACUCCUUAGAAGAAAGCUGCUUCCUGCUGCUUCCUGUAAGCGCAUCAGUCAGCCUCUCAAUCGACAGAAUCAUCCUACACGGAAAUGCUGCGUUGAGAACGCACAGUGCUCCAGUCUCCAGCUCUGCCUUGCGACACAGUCCAAGCGAUGUCACUUCUCCCUGACCCACAGGGCCCUGUCCUCCCUUCCCAGCUUCGCGGGCUAUUUCUGAAUCUUCUGGUUCUGUAUCAAAAUUUCUGCUUCCUCCUAG